AGCAGGGUAUUUAGUUAGGUGUGCCCUUGCGAUUAAUAGCUGUGGAAAGAAGAAGAAGGAAGCAGGAAUGGCAAAUGAGAGAAGUCAAGCUAAGAUGCAGUUAACCCCAUUGAUACUCUUAGUUAACUCCACUGGAGCUCCUGAAAUAGAAUGUUAGAAUUCUCCUGCAUUGGGCCAAAAUAGCCAGGUCUUUAUCCUCCUGCAACCAUCAGGAGCUACCCACAGAUGGGGUGUGACUUUAGGGGAGGCAGCUGAAGCAAUUCCCCAAAGGACAGACAGCUGAAGGUCAUCUGCUGAGGACACUUCUCACUGCAUGGGACCUAGGAGUUGUAAAAAUGUCUCAUAAUCCGAGAACAAGAUUGCUCAAUGAAACUCAUAUCUUUUAAAUUCAGAACAAAUAGUAAAAAGGAAAUUUGUCUUACAGAGUUCCAGAGCCAUCAACAGAGGAUCUAAGAUAAAAGGAACAACUUCUUUAACAAGGAGAGAUUGGGCCACCAAGAAGAAACAGUGAAUACUUUUAUUUAGUAAAAGGCUGCCUCUCUCCACUGAUAAAAAAACAAAGACAGCUGGACGAUUUAUGCUUCCAGCACACUUGGCAAAGACGAUUGCAAUUCACCUCUUGAUUCUUCGCUACCAAGACCCAAUGAAGACAUCAAGCAAGGAAAGGAGAUAGCAACUUACUGGAAAGGAAGUGCUGGGAGGCUGGUCCAAAGUCCCUGUGCGCUUCAUGCAGCUGCCUGAUGCGGUCCUCAAUGGCCACCUGGGAGGAAGAGGAGAGAAAUGAUGUUCUCUCAUCAGAUAUAAUGAGGAGCAAUGAAAACAAUGUACCC
Long non-coding RNA from Canis lupus familiaris (dog), 830 nucleotides. RefSeq lists it as uncharacterized. The record is from RefSeq and is a predicted model, not a curated record. Lineage: Eukaryota; Metazoa; Chordata; Mammalia; Carnivora; Canidae. The transcript has 4 exons.